ACACGAAGAAAUUCUAAUCGAAUAAUUUCGGGAUCCUAGAGGAUAAUUUCUCUAGCGGUAACGCUGGUGUUGCACCAUUGUCAUCCAACAAAAAAGCGGGUCGCACACACAUUUCCAUGACGAAUUGUAACCUCAAAGUGUGAAGUGAAUGCUGUGAACUUUGAAGGUUUUUUUAGAGAGUCUAGCACACCACUUUUAAUCUUCUAUUUCUAAACUUUCACCUUCCAAAC
This is a long non-coding RNA of Belonocnema kinseyi, 230 nucleotides long. RefSeq lists it as uncharacterized. NCBI's taxonomy places the organism in Eukaryota, Metazoa, Arthropoda, Insecta, Hymenoptera, Cynipidae. The record is from RefSeq and is a predicted model, not a curated record. The transcript has 2 exons.